RNAcentral lists this ribosomal RNA (462 nucleotides) under uncultured bacterium. Its description in RNAcentral is "bacterial SSU rRNA". It matches the Rfam family "Bacterial small subunit ribosomal RNA", at positions 328 to 803 of the family's 1533-position model. The record is from RNAcentral.
GAAUUCAACUCCUACGGGAGGCAGCAGUGGGGAAUAUUGCACAAUGGGGGAAACCCUGAUGCAGCGACGCAGCGUGCGGGAUGACGGCCUUCGGGUUGUAAACCGCUUUCAGCAGGGAAGAAGCGCAAGUGACGGUACCUGCAGAAGAAGUACCGGCUAACUACGUGCCAGCAGCCGCAGUAAUACGUAGGGUACGAGCGUUGUCCGGAAUUAUUGGGCGUAAAGAGCUCGUAGGUGGUUGGUCACGUCUGCUGUGGAAACGCAACGCUUAACGUUGCGCGUGCAGUGGGUACAGGCUGACUAGAGUGCAGUAGGGGAGUCUGGAAUUCCUGGUGUAGCGGUGAAAUGCGCAGAUAUCAGGAGGAACACCGGUGGCGAAGGCGGGACUCUGGGCUGUAACUGACACUGAGGAGCGAAAGCAUGGGGAGCGAACAGGAUUAGAUACCCUUGUAGUCAGGCGUU